CCAAUAGCGUAUAUUAAAGUUGUUGCAGUUAAAAAGCUCGUAGUUGAAUUUCGAGACCGGUUUACUGGUCGUGCUUUUGUACGUACUGGUAUAAUCAGUUUCUCUCUUCUGACGAACUAUAAUGCCAUUAAUUUGGUGUUAUGGGAAAUCAGGACUGUUACUUUGAAAAAAUUAGAGUGUUUAAAGCAGGCUCACGCUUGAAUACAUUAGCAUGGAAUAA
RNAcentral lists this ribosomal RNA (220 nucleotides) under uncultured Glomus. Its description in RNAcentral is "partial small subunit ribosomal RNA". It matches the Rfam family "Eukaryotic small subunit ribosomal RNA", at positions 591 to 817 of the family's 1831-position model. The record is from RNAcentral. Lineage: Eukaryota; Fungi; Glomeromycota; Glomeromycetes; Glomerales; Glomeraceae.